UUGUGAGGUUAAGCGACUAAGCGUACACGGUGGAUGCCCUGGCAGUCAGAGGCGAUGAAGGACGUGCUAAUCUGCGAUAAGCGUCGGUGAGGUGAUAUGAACCGUUAUAACCGGCGAUUUCCGAAUGGGGAAACCCAGUGUGUUUCGACACACUAUCAUUAACUGAAUCCAUAGGUUAAUGAGGCGAACCGGGGGAACUGAAACAUCUAAGUACCCCGAGGAAAAGAAAUCAACCGAGAUUCCCCCAGUAGCGGCGAGCGAACGGGGAGGAGCCCAGAGCCUGAAUCAGUGUGUGUGUUAGUGGAAGCGUCUGGAAAGGCGCGCGAUACAGGGUGACAGCCCCGUACACAAAAAUGCACAUAUUGUGAGCUCGAUGAGUAGGGCGGGACACGUGGUAUCCUGUCUGAAUAUGGGGGGACCAUCCUCCAAGGCUAAAUACUCCUGACUGACCGAUAGUGAACCAGUACCGUGAGGGAAAGGCGAAAAGAACCCCGGCGAGGGGAGUGAAAAAGAACCUGAAACCGUGUACGUACAAGCAGUGGGAGCCUCUUAAUGGGGUGACUGCGUACCUUUUGUAUAAUGGGUCAGCGACUUAUAUUCUGUAGCAAGGUUAACCGAAUAGGGGAGCCGAAGGGAAACCGAGUCUUAACUGGGCGUUAAGUUGCAGGGUAUAGACCCGAAACCCGGUGAUCUAGCCAUGGGCAGGUUGAAGGUUGGGUAACACUAACUGGAGGACCGAACCGACUAAUGUUGAAAAAUUAGCGGAUGACUUGUGGCUGGGGGUGAAAGGCCAAUCAAACCGGGAGAUAGCUGGUUCUCCCCGAAAGCUAUUUAGGUAGCGCCUCGUGAAUUCAUCUCCGGGGGUAGAGCACUGUUUCGGCAAGGGGGUCAUCCCGACUUACCAACCCGAUGCAAACUGCGAAUACCGGAGAAUGUUAUCACGGGAGACACACGGCGGGUGCUAACGUCCGUCGUGAAGAGGGAAACAACCCAGACCGCCAGCUAAGGUCCCAAAGUCAUGGUUAAGUGGGAAACGAUGUGGGAAGGCCCAGACAGCCAGGAUGUUGGCUUAGAAGCAGCCAUCAUUUAAAGAAAGCGUAAUAGCUCACU
This 1110-nucleotide ribosomal RNA is filed under the name Escherichia coli. Its description in RNAcentral is "partial 23S ribosomal RNA". It matches the Rfam family "Bacterial large subunit ribosomal RNA", at positions 1 to 1146 of the family's 2925-position model. Lineage: Bacteria; Pseudomonadati; Pseudomonadota; Gammaproteobacteria; Enterobacterales; Enterobacteriaceae. The record is from RNAcentral.